GAUUAAGAACGCAGCGAAAUGCGAUAAGUAAUGUGAAUUGCAGAAUUCAGUGAAUCAUCGAAUCUUUGAACGCACAUUGCGCCCGCCAGUAUUCUGGCGAGCAUGCCUGUUCGAGCGUCAUUUCAACCAUCAAGCCCCAGGCUUGUGUUGGAGCCCUGCGGCUGCCGCAGCCUCCCAAAACCAGUGGCGGGCUCGCUAUCACACCGAGUGCAGUAGUUUACUCUUCGCUCAGGGCGUGUGGCGGGUGCUAGCCGUGAAACCCCCAACUUCUCAAGGUUGACCUCGGAUCAGGUAGGAAUACCCGCUGAACUUAAGCAUAUCAAUAAGCGGAGGA
This 334-nucleotide unclassified non-coding RNA is filed under the name soil metagenome. RNAcentral describes it as "partial contains 5.8S ribosomal RNA, internal transcribed spacer 2, and large subunit ribosomal RNA". The stretch from base 1 to 120 matches the Rfam family "5.8S ribosomal RNA", at positions 35 to 154 of the family's 154-position model. The record is from RNAcentral.